UACAGAGGUCUCGAGCGUUGUUCGGAUUCAUUGGGCGUAAAGGGUGCGUAGGUGGCGUGGUAAGUCUGGUGUGAAAUCCCGGGGCUCAACCCCGGAACUGCACUGGAUACUGCCAUGCUUGAGUACUGGAGAGGAGAUUGGAAUUUACGGUGUAGCAGUGAAAUGCGUAGAUAUCGUAAGGAAGACCAGUGGCGAAGGCGAAUCUCUGGACAGUUACUGACACUGAGGCACGAAAGCGUGGGGAGCAAACAGGG
This 254-nucleotide ribosomal RNA is filed under the name uncultured bacterium. Its description in RNAcentral is "partial 16S ribosomal RNA". It matches the Rfam family "Bacterial small subunit ribosomal RNA", at positions 524 to 777 of the family's 1533-position model. The record is from RNAcentral.